GAAAACAUGAUGACGAAGAAGAGUAUCUUUAAAGUUUUUUUAGAGAGAUGGUGUUUGGUGCAAACCAUUAAAGCUUUUGAGGGAAGGGAACUUCUGAAUGUUUAAUUUUUAAGUAGGGCUUAUGCCAAGAAGGGUGGAACCGCGGAAUAAUUUCGUCCCUUUG
Molecule: non-coding RNA, 163 nt
Filed under: Clostridium fallax
Lineage: Bacteria; Bacillati; Bacillota; Clostridia; Eubacteriales; Clostridiaceae
Description: T-box sequence
Rfam family: T-box leader
About the family: Uncharged tRNA acts as the effector for transcription antitermination of genes in the T-box leader family. T-boxes are found upstream of many aminoacyl-tRNA synthetase genes and some amino acid biosynthetic genes usually in Gram-positive bacteria.
Source: RNAcentral